GGACUCUUCAUCGAGAUCCGCUCCUCUUGAAAUGCAUUAGCGGUCCUGCCCAUUCGCAGACUCGCCCCGGCGUGAUAGUUAUCUACGUCGCGGUGGGAAUGCCCCUAUCCGGUGCAGCCGCUCCUAACCGUCGCCCCCUUUUGCGACAACCCCUAUGACAAUUUGACCUCAAAUCAGGUAGGAUUACCCGCUGAACUUAA
RNAcentral lists this unclassified non-coding RNA (200 nucleotides) under soil metagenome. RNAcentral's name for it is "partial contains internal transcribed spacer 2 and large subunit ribosomal RNA". The record is from RNAcentral.